AGGUCAGAAAGCAGCAGUCAGAGCUCCACCACCAAUCAUGGAGUCAACCAGACAGACAGUCAAGUUUACAGCUCUCUGCUGCACGGGGAUACUUCUGAGUAUGAGUCAAUCCAACGAGCCACAAACAAAGGGGGCCCUGAUGACCUAGACGAGGAUCCUGUUUACACUAAUAUGAAAGCAGAAACCACAGGAGGAAGCUGAAGUACCCAGAGAGAACCCACAUCCACAGGGAGAACAUGCAAAAUCCAUGCAGAAAGUCCACGUGCUGAGAAUUGAACCCGGAACCUUCUUGUGGCAAGAAAGCAGUGUUACCCACUGCUGCACUGAACAUCCCAUUUUGUAGAUAUGAUUGUUUUUUUUUUUAAAUAAUGCAAUAAAGCAAAUCUGAUUUUUUUAGAAAUUCUCAUUUUUGGACAUUAAGAACCUUUAAUUGGUUUUAAAAUAUGUGUAGUUAUGCUUCAAUGUUUACAUACCCUUCCAUUAAAGAAAGAAAAAAAAAAGCCUGCAAGUAAAAUAAAUAGAAAAUGACCAAAGACAUAAUGCAUAAAAAUGAUUAAAAAAACAGAAAUUGUGGCAUUAAUUUUGAAUAAAUAGAUAUAAAUCCAUAUGUAUAUAACAUGCAAGGAGUAUACAAACCUGUUUGAGCUUAUGAACUAAAAUUUUGUUGAGCAACUCUUUGAGGCAGUAAUCACUGAAAUCAGGUGUUUUCUGUAAUGUUCAGGAAAUGUUCAGUCAGACUUCUGCACCUUUUGACAGGUAUGUUGGUUCACUGUUAAUGAGCAAAGUAGUCUAUUUGUUCUGGCAUAAUUGUUUUUUUUUUAGAAUAAUUUUAAAAUUAAAACUUCAAAAUUAAUAUUUUAUUUUAUUCAAUUAUCACUUAGUCAUAUUUAUUUAUUUACAAGUAGAGAGUGUUGGCCUACUGGUCAGAAUAAAAUUAAAGUAAGUUAAAACUAAAUAU
Cyprinodon variegatus (sheepshead minnow) is the source of this 958-nucleotide long non-coding RNA. RefSeq lists it as uncharacterized. NCBI's taxonomy places the organism in Eukaryota, Metazoa, Chordata, Actinopteri, Cyprinodontiformes, Cyprinodontidae. The record is from RefSeq and is a predicted model, not a curated record. The transcript is spliced from 4 exons.